CCUACGGGAGGCAGCAGUGAGGAAUAUUGGUCAAUGGGCGGAAGCCUGAACCAGCCAAGUAGCGUGCAGGAUGACGGCCCUACGGGUUGUAAACCGCUUUUAUACGGGAGUAAUGCGCCUUACGUGUAGGGCUUUGCAUGUAACGUGUGAAUUAGGACCGGCUAAUUCCGUGCCAGCCGCCGCGGUUAUACGGAAGGUUCGGGCGUUGUCCGGGUUUAUUGGGGUUAAAGGGAUCGUAGGGCGCAUGUCAAGCGUGCUGGUAAAUGUCCGGGCUCAACCCGGGCCUUGCAGCGCGAACUGGCGAGCUUGAGUCCGCGGAAAGCAGGCGGAAUUCGUCGUGUAGCGGUGAAAUGCUUAGAUAUGACGAAGAACCCCGAUUGCGAAGGCAGCUUGCUGCAGCGGAACUGACGCUGAUGCUCGAAAGCGCGGGUAUCGAACAGGAUUAGAUACCCUGGUAGUC
RNAcentral lists this ribosomal RNA (460 nucleotides) under uncultured bacterium. RNAcentral describes it as "partial 16S ribosomal RNA". It matches the Rfam family "Bacterial small subunit ribosomal RNA", at positions 338 to 795 of the family's 1533-position model. The record is from RNAcentral.